RNAcentral lists this ribosomal RNA (505 nucleotides) under uncultured eukaryote. RNAcentral describes it as "SSU rRNA". It matches the Rfam family "Eukaryotic small subunit ribosomal RNA", at positions 77 to 549 of the family's 1831-position model. The record is from RNAcentral.
UAAGGUGAAACCGCGAAAGGCUCAUUAAAUCAGUUAUGGUUCCUUAGAUCGUACCCACAUUUACUUGGAUAACUGUGGUAAUUCUAGAGCUAAUACAUGCAAACAGAGCUCCGACCGGAGACGGAAGGAGUGCUUUUAUUAGAUCAAAACCAAUCGGCGGCAGUAGCGUUUCGGCGUUAUUGUUCGUCGUACUGUUUGGUGACUCUGAAUAACUUUUGGCUGAUCGCACGGUCUUGCACCGGCGACGCAUCUUUCAAAUGUCUGCCUUAUCAACUGUCGAUGGUAGGUUCUGCGCCUACCAUGGUUGUAACGGGUAACGGGGAAUCAGGGUUCGAUUCCGGAGAGGGAGCCUGAGAAACGGCUACCACAUCCAAGGAAGGCAGCAGGCGCGCAAAUUACCCACUCCCGGCACGGGGAGGUAGUGACGAACAAUAACGAUACGGGACUCAUCCGAGGCCCCGUAAUCGGAAUGAGUACACUUUAAAUCCUUUAACGAGGACCAAUU